RNAcentral lists this ribosomal RNA (250 nucleotides) under uncultured bacterium. RNAcentral's name for it is "partial 16S ribosomal RNA". It matches the Rfam family "Bacterial small subunit ribosomal RNA", at positions 524 to 773 of the family's 1533-position model. The record is from RNAcentral.
UACGUAGGGUGCGAGCGUUAAUCGGAAUUACUGGGCGUAAAGCGUGCGCAGGCGGUUUUGUAAGCCAGAUGUGAAAGCCCCGGGCUUAACCUGGGAAUGGCAUUUGGGACUGCAAGGCUGGAGUGUGGCAGAGGAGACUGGAAUUCCUGGUGUAGCAGUGAAAUGCGUAGAUAUCAGGAGGAACACCGAUGGCGAAGGCAGGUCUCUGGGCUGACACUGACGCUCAUGCACGAAAGCGUGGGGAGCAAAC